RNAcentral lists this ribosomal RNA (516 nucleotides) under uncultured bacterium. Its description in RNAcentral is "bacterial SSU rRNA". It matches the Rfam family "Bacterial small subunit ribosomal RNA", at positions 8 to 518 of the family's 1533-position model. The record is from RNAcentral.
AGGGUUCGAUUCUGGCUCAGGAUGAACGCUGGCGGCGUGCCUAAUACAUGCAAGUCGAACGAGGGUGCUUGCACCCUAGUGGCGAACGGGUGAGUAACACGUAGGUAACCUGCCUUUAGCUUGGGAUACCCAGAGGAAACUUUGGCUAAUACCGGAUAACAACAGAUGAGGCAUCUCAACUGUUUGAAAGGCCCCCUUCAAGGGUCACUAAAAGAUGGACCUGCGGCGCAUUAGCUAGUUGGUGAGAUAAUAGCCCACCAAGGCGAGGAUGCGUAGCCGAACUGAGAGGUUGAUCGGCCACAUUGGAACUGAGACACGGUCCAAACUCCUACGGGAGGCAGCAGUAAGGAGUUUUCGGCAAUGGGGGAAACCCUGACCGAGCAACGCCGCGUGAGUGAUGACGGCCCUAUGGGUUGUAAAGCUCUGUUGUAGAGGACGAAUGAUAGCUUCAGGAAAUGGGAGCUAUUUGACGGUACUUUACCAGAAAGCCACGGCUAACUACGUGCCAGCCGCCGC